Molecule: ribosomal RNA, 253 nt
Filed under: uncultured bacterium
Lineage: Bacteria
Description: partial 16S ribosomal RNA
Rfam family: Bacterial small subunit ribosomal RNA
Source: RNAcentral
UACAGAGGGUGCGAGCGUUAAUCGGAAUUACUGGGCGUAAAGCGUGCGCAGGCGGUUUUGUAAGACAGGCGUGAAAUCCCCGAGCUCAACUUGGGAAUUGCGCUUGUGACUGCAAGGCUAGAGUGUGUCAGAGGGGGGUAGAAUUCCACGUGUAGCAGUGAAAUGCGUAGAGAUGUGGAGGAAUACCGAUGGCGAAGGCAGCCCCCUGGGACAUGACUGACGCUCAUGCACGAAAGCGUGGGGAGCAAACAGG